UACGUAGGGGGCAAGCGUUGUCCGGAUUUAUUGGGCGUAAAGAGCGUGUAGGCGGCCAUACAGGUCAGCUGUGAAAACUCGAGGCUCAACCUCGAGACGUCGGUUGAAACCGUAUGGCUAGAGUCCGGAAGAGGAGAGUGGAAUUCCCGGUGUAGCGGUGAAAUGCGCAGAUAUCGGGAAGAACACCUAUGGCGAAGGCAGCUCUCUGGGACGGUACUGGCGCUGAGACGCGAAAGCGUGGGGAGCGAACAGG
RNAcentral lists this ribosomal RNA (253 nucleotides) under uncultured bacterium. RNAcentral describes it as "partial 16S ribosomal RNA". It matches the Rfam family "Bacterial small subunit ribosomal RNA", at positions 524 to 776 of the family's 1533-position model. The record is from RNAcentral.